GAAUAAAACAAAAUUAUUGUAUUCAAGUUCGAAUUGAAUUUAUUGAUUUUUAAUUAAAUCU
Molecule: transfer RNA, 61 nt
Filed under: Pelecinus polyturator
Lineage: Eukaryota; Metazoa; Arthropoda; Insecta; Hymenoptera; Pelecinidae
Description: tRNA-Arg
Source: RNAcentral